GCCUGGAUACCUCAGUCGGUAGAGAAUCAGACUGCUAAUUUUAAGGGUCCAGGGUUCAAGUGUGUGUGCAUGUG
RNAcentral lists this transfer RNA (74 nucleotides) under Anguilla anguilla (European eel). RNAcentral describes it as "tRNA-OTHER". The record is from RNAcentral. Lineage: Eukaryota; Metazoa; Chordata; Actinopteri; Anguilliformes; Anguillidae.